GUUAAGGUUAAUUGUGUAUGUUCUAUAUUAUAUGGUUUUACUUGUUCUAGCCAUUUUAUUCCUAAUAUUAUGUCUGCUUUUUGUAUUUCUCCCUUUACUUAAAAUUCUAUUUUUAUUUUUCUAAUUUCUAUUAUUAUUUCUUUUUCUGCUAUAUUUUUACUAUUUAUUAAACUUCUUGGUAGAUCUGGGCACAUAUCAUUAUCAGUUUUUAUUUCUUCAUUUUUUACUAGAUAUUUUGCUAUAUAAUUUUCUUGUUGUCCUGUAUUUAAGAGUAUUAAAUAUUCUUUUUCAUUUACCUUUCCUGUUAUGUAAUAUUGGUUUAAAUUACUUAUUGAAUUUGUUUCAUAACUUGUUCUUUUUGAUGAGCUUGAUGAUUCUGGUU
RNAcentral lists this long non-coding RNA (382 nucleotides) under Capsicum annuum. RNAcentral's name for it is "long non-coding RNA (CANN_LNC020850)". Lineage: Eukaryota; Viridiplantae; Streptophyta; Magnoliopsida; Solanales; Solanaceae. The record is from RNAcentral.